AGUUUCACCCAGGCAGAGGCAGCAGGGCUCGUCCUGGCUGCUGGCACCGGUCAGGGCUGCCAAAGCCGGCUCACAGAAACCUGGACUGCUGCUGGCCAGGACAGCUGGCCAAAAGAGAACAAAGGCAACAUCAUGCCAGCUGUAUGGUAUUCCUGAAGGUAUCCACCGUCCCAAACCAUGUGCUUCCCGGCAGCCAGCCCUGAAGGUUCAAAACCCAGAAGAGUGUGCACGGCGGCAGCUUCUGGACGAAAGGGAGAGAGCAGAGGUCAUGUUGGUUUUGAGAAAGCUGAGAGGACACCAAAGGACUCUUGACAGCAGUGCCACUGUCCUCUGCUGAGAGCACUCGUUCCACACAACCAUCUCCCAGUUUCUGUGAGUUCGGAUGACACAAUGCCAAUUUCCAACUCCGCUUUUUAUGUUUAUCAAAUCCUCCCGGUGCCCACUGACUGCCUUAGCCCUGAGAAAGCAUGCAGGGCCUUCCAGAGUGAGACUGGGCUUGUUCCUACGACCAGAGAGCUGUGAGACUUGAAAACUUCUUCCCUAAAAGCAUCCAGAGAAAUGUCAUGGUAAAAAGCAAUGCUGUACAAACUGCUUUUAUUAAGGAAUUCAAUCUCUUUUUUCUUCCAUUUAUUUUUAAGAAGGUCACCUGUCUCUGCACAAGGUUGCAGGGAAUCAUAUCUAAUUAGCAGU
Molecule: long non-coding RNA, 690 nt
Organism: Zonotrichia leucophrys gambelii
Lineage: Eukaryota; Metazoa; Chordata; Aves; Passeriformes; Passerellidae
Exons: 3
Source: RefSeq, a predicted model, not a curated record